CAGUCGCCACGGUAAUACGGAGGGUGCGAGCGUUAAUCGGAAUUACUGGGCGUAAAGCGCACGCAGGCGGUUUGUUAAGUCAGAUGUGAAAUCCCCGAGCUUAACUUGGGAACUGCAUUUGAAACUGGCAAGCUAGAGUCUUGUAGAGGGGGGUAGAAUUCCGGGUGUAGCGGUGAAAUGCGUAGAGAUCUGGAGGAAUACCGGUGGCGAAGGCGGCCCCCUGGACAAAGACUGACGCUCAGGUGCGAAAGCGUGGGGAGCAAACAGGAUUAGAUACCCGGGUAGUCCCUGUCUCUUAUAC
This 301-nucleotide ribosomal RNA is filed under the name uncultured bacterium. RNAcentral describes it as "partial 16S ribosomal RNA". It matches the Rfam family "Bacterial small subunit ribosomal RNA", at positions 509 to 807 of the family's 1533-position model. The record is from RNAcentral.